GACGAACGCUGGCGGCGUGCUUAACACAUGCAAGUCGAACGCUGAAGCUCAGCUUUUGUUGGGUGGAUGAGUGGCGAACGGGUGAGUAACACGUGAGUAACCUGCCCCCUUCUUUGGAAUAACGCCCGGAAACGGGUGCUAAUACUGGAUAUUCACUGGUCUUCGCAUGGGGGUUGGUGGAAAGGGUUUUUCUGGUGGGGGAUGGGCUCGCGGCCUAUCAGCUUGUUGGUGGGGUGAUGGCCUACCAAGGCUUUGACGGGUAGCCGGCCUGAGAGGGUGACCGGUCACAUUGGGACUGAGAUACGGCCCAGACUCCUACGGGAGGCAGCAGUGGGGAAUAUUGCACAAUGGGCGCAAGCCUGAUGCAGCGACGCCGCGUGAGGGAUGGAGGCCUUCGGGUUGCGAACCUCUUUCGCUCAUGGUCAAGCCGCAACAAUGGUUGUGGUGAGGGUAGUGGGUAAAGAAGCGCCGGCUAACUACGUG
RNAcentral lists this ribosomal RNA (483 nucleotides) under uncultured bacterium. RNAcentral describes it as "partial 16S ribosomal RNA". It matches the Rfam family "Bacterial small subunit ribosomal RNA", at positions 28 to 507 of the family's 1533-position model. The record is from RNAcentral.